This 267-nucleotide long non-coding RNA is filed under the name Ananas comosus (pineapple). Its description in RNAcentral is "long non-coding RNA (ACOM_LNC013929)". Lineage: Eukaryota; Viridiplantae; Streptophyta; Magnoliopsida; Poales; Bromeliaceae. The record is from RNAcentral.
AUUAGAGUAUCGGUAUUGAAACACCCCUAACAUUUAACGUAUCAAUACCCCAAAUUUCAUACAAGUACUCAAUACAAAAUCUAAUUUUUACAGUUUCAAAUUUUAAGAAACUUCUUAGUGCCAGUACUUCAACUUUUAGUUCCCUUAUUUAACAUCAAGAAAUCCCAAUUCAUCGACUUUUCACCAUAAUAUUAAUUCGGAACACAACUUUACAUAAUUCAAUAUUUAUUUUAUAUCUUUUCUUCCAAACCUUCUGGGAGUCGGUUA